This 72-nucleotide transfer RNA is filed under the name Candidatus Brocadiia bacterium. Its description in RNAcentral is "tRNA-Phe". It matches the Rfam family "tRNA". Rfam says of the family: Transfer RNA (tRNA) molecules are approximately 80 nucleotides in length. Lineage: Bacteria; Pseudomonadati; Planctomycetota; Candidatus Brocadiia. The record is from RNAcentral.
GGUGGUGUCGCCUACCGGUGUGGGCGCCUGGCUGAAACCCAGGAGGUGAAGGUUCGAUUCCUUCCACCACCG